AGUCGUCAACACGAGUUGUUGCUGGUCCUCAAACGGGGGCAUGUGCACACUCUGUUCACACAUCCACUCACACCUGUGCACCCUCCGUAGUUCUAUGGCCUGUGAGACACCGUCCCCCUGCCGUAGUUCUAUGUCUUUACACACACACAACCUAGCAAGGUCAUAUGGAAUGUACACGCGUUUAACGCAAUACAAUACAACUUUCAGCAACGGAUCUCUUGGCUCUCGCAUCGAUGAAGAACGCAGCGAAAUGCGAUAAGUAAUGUGAAUUGCAGAAUUCAGUGAAUCAUCGAAUCUUUGAACGCACCUUGCGCCCCUGGGAUAUUCCGAGGGGCAUGCCUGUUUGAGUAUCAUGAACACCUCAACUCUCAUGGUUUGCCAUGAUGAGCUUGGACUUUGGGGGUUUUGCUGGCCCUGUGGUCAGCUCCCCUCAAACAAAUCAGCUUGCCAGUGUACGGCGGCGCUGCGGGUGUGAUAACUAAUCUACGCUUGCGGUCGUCCGUUGGGUAACCUUUGGCAACGGAGGUUCGCUGGAGCUCAUAAACGUCUCUCCUCAGUGAAGACAGCUUUUCGAACGUUCGAUCUCAAAUCAGGUAGGACUACCCGCUGAACUUAA
Molecule: ribosomal RNA, 616 nt
Filed under: uncultured Tomentella
Lineage: Eukaryota; Fungi; Basidiomycota; Agaricomycetes; Thelephorales; Thelephoraceae
Description: eukaryotic LSU rRNA
Rfam family: 5.8S ribosomal RNA (bases 199-353)
Source: RNAcentral